GACGAACGCUGGCGGCGUGCCUAAUACAUGCAAGUAGAACGCUGAAGCUUGGUGCUUGCACCGAGCGGAUGAGUUGCGAACGGGUGAGUAACGCGUAGGUAACCUGCCUGGUAGCGGGGGAUAACUAUUGGAAACGAUAGCUAAUACCGCAUAACAGUAGAUAUCGCAUGAUAGCUACUUGAAAGGUGCAAAUGCACCACUACCAGAUGGACCUGCGUUGUAUUAGCUAGUUGGUGAGGUAACGGCUCACCAAGGCAACGAUACAUAGCCGACCUGAGAGGGUGAUCGGCCACACUGGGACUGAGACACGGCCCAGACUCCUUCGGGAGACAGCAGUAGGGAAUCUUCGGCAAUAGACGGAAGUCUGACCGAGCAACGCCGCGUGAGUGAAGAAGGUUUUCGGAUCGUAAAGCUCUGUUGUAAGAGAAGAACGAGUGUGAGAGUGGAAAGUUCACACUGUGACGGUAUCUUACCAGAAAGGGACGGCUAACUACGUG
RNAcentral lists this ribosomal RNA (497 nucleotides) under uncultured bacterium. RNAcentral's name for it is "partial 16S ribosomal RNA". It matches the Rfam family "Bacterial small subunit ribosomal RNA", at positions 28 to 507 of the family's 1533-position model. The record is from RNAcentral.